UUGUGCCAUUACUGAAAUCUGCAGAUCUGGAAAGGCAAACUGACUCUUUCAUAUGUACAUGCAGCUUCUUCCACAAGGAAUAAUGGGAAAGCUAAGGUCUACUUUUCUUAAAAAUGAAGUUCCUGGAAUAGAAUAGACUGAACUUUCAUCCAGGAUAUUAACAGCUGUACUGUAGUUAAUUAUCUUUAUUCCAGAUACAAUUAUGAUCACUUAUCCAUUAUUUUUUUAUUAAUGCUUGCAAUGUACUAUGUCUCCUUUAUAAGAUUUAAUAAAUUGGGGUAAGGAUGUUCAACAACAUUUGCUGACUUGUGAUGUGGCAGUCUUAUUUCAAGAAUUUCAUGGAUCACAUUCUCACAGCAUCUUUUUUGAAAGGGCGGGGGAAGACUUACUAGCCUGUCAGCUCCGUUACUUGUCAACUUUCCCUAGGGGUUUCAAGAAUUGUCAGAAUGUCAACAUCCAACUUGCCUUGCAGUCACAUUUCAAAGAAGACAAUGAGCUUUAUAACUUGCAAGCAUUCUGUGGAUGGCUAUCGUUAACCAAGUGCCUGGACAAUGAUUACUAUAAGAAGCAUGUACAUGAGUCUGCAAGACAGCCUCAGCUUCACUGAUAUGUGAGCCACACAUUUGAGGACUGACUUUGGCUUGGACUUGGAAACAUUGUAAAUUUGCUGCAACCACCUUUUCAAGUGGCACUCACUAAUGCAAAUUUACAACUGCUCAUAGCACAAGGAGUUCUCUUAUAACACACCUAAGUGAAUGAGAACUUUACACAGCUGGAUCCGUGAUGGAAACCAAUUACACUCUCUGCAGCUGCUUAUUGGUCUCAGUGAAAGCUACUCAUCACAUACAUACUUCUUUUCAAAUGGUUGCAUUAAAUGCAGUUGAAGCCCAUUGAGUACUAUGCAAAGAAGAUGUUCCACAAGAUGUCAUGAAGAAUUAUUAGAAAUUGAAGCAACACCCGGUAACAUAUUCUUGUAUUGUUGCGUCAGGACUACAAUUAUUUCGAAAUUGAACUGUCCAUUUAUUAAUCCAAAGAUGUGAACAAGAGAUCUCAUGAAACUUGGUUCCCUAGUGUGUGAUCUCACACACAACUUGUUGACUCUGCUUUAUGAGUUGUGGUUGGAUGUGUUUCUGUUGAUGGAUUGACUGUACCAGUAAGGAUAUCAACUCGUAACUCAUUGGCCAAAUGAUUACCGUCAAUGGAAUAUUCAAAAUUGGAUGUGUUUUGACUCAGUAUGCACUGCACUUUUGGAGGAACUCUGAAGAAGUUUAAAAUCAUUUUUUCUAAGUUUGAAAUCUAGCCGGAUUUAAUAAUAUGAUGCAGAGAAUAAUUGUACAUGGAUCAAAUCAGUUCAAUUUCAGAUGGAUUUGAAGGGAACAAUCCUCGUUCCUUACAGCUUCUAUGAAAUCUUACUACUUAUUCAUUAGUAUGUUUGUUGUGUUGGUAUUGUUCCUACUGCGUUCUUACUUCAAGAAUAUUAACACUCUCUUACUCUCAUUGAAGUUGAAAAACAGGUCUUUAGUGUCUUGUACAAAAUAUCUACUGGACAAAUUUGCUUUCCAAACUUGAUCCAAUAUCUGCCAUUUUAAGGACAAUACAUUAUGAAUUUGGAUUGCGACUUUGAUGGAUGCAUGAGGGUAAAACGGUGAAUUGUGAAUGUGCAUGUGCUGUUAGUUUGAAAAAUGAAAUAAGUGGAUCUCUGUUGGCUUGUCGUGGGUGAGCGUCAUGCAAUCCAUAUUCAUAAUGCAGUUUGUAAGGAUUCGAAGCAUCAGUGAUUUUUCAGUAUAAGUAAUUAACGGUUGCUUUUCAAGCUCUGUCAAUUUUUUCAUAAAAUCAUUAAUUUCUUACUGUUUCACUUAAGUAAAAACGCAGCUGUUUAAAAUUUACAUGAUGAAAAGGCUUGGAAAUGGUUGAUUGCCUGAAAUCAGUGUCACUGAAUUUUAACUUAAUUUUCAAUGUAAUCCCUUGUUUUUGAUUCCUCUAUUAAAAUGUGUGUGUAUGAUUGGACAAAGAAUCAGAAUGGGGGCUUUCAAAUUUAUUGACAGUAAUGGCUGUAAUAGAGAGCUUUUAUCUCCCAAAAUGCAUUUUUGGUACAU
Long non-coding RNA from Frankliniella occidentalis (western flower thrips), 2096 nucleotides. RefSeq lists it as uncharacterized. Lineage: Eukaryota; Metazoa; Arthropoda; Insecta; Thysanoptera; Thripidae. The record is from RefSeq and is a predicted model, not a curated record. The transcript has 7 exons.